This 433-nucleotide ribosomal RNA is filed under the name uncultured bacterium. RNAcentral describes it as "partial 16S ribosomal RNA". It matches the Rfam family "Bacterial small subunit ribosomal RNA", at positions 29 to 507 of the family's 1533-position model. The record is from RNAcentral.
AACGAACGCUGGCGGCAUGCCUAGCACAUGCAAGUCGAACGAGACCUUCGGGUCUAGUGGCGCACGGGUGCGUAACGCGUGGGAACCUGCCCUUAGGUUCGGAAUAACUCCCCGAAAGGGGUGCUAAUACCGGGUAAUGUCUUCGGACCAAAGAUUUAUCGCCUUUGGAUGGGCCCGCGUUGGAUUAGCUAGUUGGUAGGGUAAAAGCCUACCAAGGCGACGAUCCAUAGCUGGUCUGAGAGGAUGAUCAGCCACACUGGGACUGAGACACGGCCCAGACUCCUACGGGAGGCGGCAGUGGGGAAUAUUGGACAAUGGGCGAAAGCCUGAUCCAGCAAUGCCGCGUGAGUGAUGAAGGCCUUAGGGUUGUAAAGCUCUUCUACCCGGGAUGAUAAUGACAGUACCGGGAGAAUAAGCUCCGGCUAACUCCGUG